CCUACGGGGGGCUGCAGUGGGGAAUAUUGCACAAUGGGCGAAAGCCUGAUGCAGCAACGCCGCGUGAGUGAUGAAGGCCUUCGGGUUGUAAAGCUCUGUCUUUGGGGACGAUUAUGACGGUACCCAAGGAGGAAGCCACGGCUAACUACUUGCCAGCAGCCGCGGUAAUACGUAGGUGGCAAGCGUUGUCCGGAUUUACUGGGCGUAACGGAUGCGUAGGCGGAUAUUUAAGUCAGAUGUGAAAUACCCGGGCUUAACGUGGGUGGUGCAUUUGAAACUGGAUAUCUAGAGUGCGGGAGAGGAAAGUGGAAUUCCUAGUGUAGCGGUGAAAUGCGUAGAGAUUAGGAAGAACACCAGUGGCGAAGGCGACUUUCUGGACCGUAACUGACGCUGAGGCAUGAAAGCGUGGGGAGCAAACAGGAUUAGAUACCCGAGUAGUC
Molecule: ribosomal RNA, 440 nt
Filed under: uncultured Clostridium sp.
Lineage: Bacteria; Bacillati; Bacillota; Clostridia; Eubacteriales; Clostridiaceae
Description: bacterial SSU rRNA
Rfam family: Bacterial small subunit ribosomal RNA
Source: RNAcentral